RNAcentral lists this transfer RNA (76 nucleotides) under Deltaproteobacteria bacterium. RNAcentral describes it as "tRNA-Leu". It matches the Rfam family "tRNA". Rfam says of the family: Transfer RNA (tRNA) molecules are approximately 80 nucleotides in length. Their secondary structure includes four short double-helical elements and three loops (D, anti-codon, and T loops). Lineage: Bacteria; Pseudomonadati; Myxococcota; Myxococcia. The record is from RNAcentral.
GCCGCCGUAGACCAACGGAAGAGUCGAUGGUUUCAAGAACCAUGAAGUGGAGGUUCGAGUCCUCUCGGCGGCACCU